This 467-nucleotide ribosomal RNA is filed under the name uncultured bacterium. RNAcentral's name for it is "partial 16S ribosomal RNA". It matches the Rfam family "Bacterial small subunit ribosomal RNA", at positions 28 to 507 of the family's 1533-position model. The record is from RNAcentral.
GACGAACGCUGGCGGCGUGCUUAACACAUGCAAGUCGAGCGGAAAGGCCUCUUUCGGGGGGUACUCGAGUGGCGAACGGGUGAGUAACACGUGAGUAACCUGCCCUUGACUUUGGGAUAACUUCAGGAAACUGGGGCUAAUACCGGAUAGGAGCUCCUGCUGCAUGGUGGGGGUUGGAAAGUUUCGGCGGUUGGGGAUGGACUCGCGGCUUAUCAGCUUGUUGGUGGGGUAGUGGCUUACCAAGGCUUUGACGGGUAGCCGGCCUGAGAGGGUGACCGGCCACAUUGGGACUGAGAUACGGCCCAGACUCCUACGGGAGGCAGCAGUGGGGAAUAUUGCACAAUGGGUGGAAGCCUGAUGCAGCAACGCCGUGUGCGGGAUGACGGCCUUCGGGUUGUAAACCGCUUUCGCUCAUGACGAAGCUUUGUGUGAUGGUAGUGGGUAAAGAAGCACCGGCUAACUACGUG